Molecule: transfer RNA, 70 nt
Filed under: Loxodonta africana (African savanna elephant)
Lineage: Eukaryota; Metazoa; Chordata; Mammalia; Proboscidea; Elephantidae
Rfam family: tRNA
About the family: Transfer RNA (tRNA) molecules are approximately 80 nucleotides in length. Their secondary structure includes four short double-helical elements and three loops (D, anti-codon, and T loops).
Source: Rfam by way of RNAcentral
GCAUUGGUAGUUCAGUGUAGAAUUCUUGCCUUCCAUGUGGGAGACCAGAAUUUGAUUCCCGGCCAAUGCA